This 253-nucleotide ribosomal RNA is filed under the name uncultured bacterium. RNAcentral describes it as "partial 16S ribosomal RNA". It matches the Rfam family "Bacterial small subunit ribosomal RNA", at positions 524 to 776 of the family's 1533-position model. The record is from RNAcentral.
UACGGGGGGGGCAAGCGUUGUUCGGAAUUACAGGGCGUAAAGGGCGUGUAGGCGGCCAACUAAGUCCGACGUGAAAUCCCCAGGCUUAACCUGGGAACUGCGUCGGAUACUGGAUGGCUUGAAUCCGGGAGAGGGAUGCAGAAUUCCAGGUGUAGCGGUGAAAUGCGUAGAUAUCUGGAGGAAUACCGGUGGCGAAGGCGGCAUCCUGGACCGGCAUUGACGCUGAAGCGCGAAAGCUAGGGGAGCAAACGGG